GGUGAACCUGCGGAGGGAUCAUUACAGAGUUCGUGCCCGCCUGGGUAGAUCUCCCACCCGUGACAUCUCACACCUUUGUUGCUUUGGCGGGCUUGUGGCCCUGCUGCUGCCCGCCAGAGGCCCCUAACUCAGUAAUUUUAGUAUCGUCUGAGUCCUACAAAAUAGUUAAAACUUUCAACAACGGAUCUCUUGGUUCUGGCAUCGAUGAAGAACGCAGCGAAAUGCGAUAAGUAAUGUGAAUUGCAGAAUUUAGUGAAUCAUCGAAUCUUUGAACGCACAUUGCGCCCUAUGGUAUUCCGUAGGGCAUGCCUGUUCGAGCGUCAUUGCAACCCUCAAGCGCUGCUUGGUCUUGGGCCCGCCUGCUGGGCGAGCCCCAAAUACAGUGGUAGUGCUCCCCGGCCCUGAGCGUAGUACAUCACCCGCUACAGGGCCUGGGGAACCGCGAGCCAGCAAUUUUUACCCCUCAAGGUUGACCUCGGAUCAGGUAGGGAUACCCGCUGAACUUAAGCAUAUCAAUAAGCCGGAGGAA
Molecule: ribosomal RNA, 529 nt
Filed under: Chlorociboria aeruginascens
Lineage: Eukaryota; Fungi; Ascomycota; Leotiomycetes; Helotiales; Chlorociboriaceae
Description: eukaryotic LSU rRNA
Rfam family: 5.8S ribosomal RNA (bases 170-323)
Source: RNAcentral